This is an RNA transcript of Rosa chinensis, 1296 nucleotides long. RefSeq lists it as uncharacterized. The record is from RefSeq and is a predicted model, not a curated record. Lineage: Eukaryota; Viridiplantae; Streptophyta; Magnoliopsida; Rosales; Rosaceae. The transcript has 5 exons.
CCUUGCAAUUUGCAAACCCUAGCCCCAAAAUCAAUUUGUCCUUAUAGUUGUUGGCGAAUACCCAAUUCCGAUUUUUGUUCAAUCUCCGAUACCCACUUGUAAUCUUGACUAAAGAUUCGAUCUUUGGGGAUCAAUUUUUUCUCUGAGAAAAGAAGACGAAUAAAGGAAUUAGGGUUUAGGAGUUAGAGGAGGAGGAAGAUGGUGAUCACGAUUGAAGAUUUGAGGAAAAAUGAGACCUGGCUUUGUGGGUCUUUCUUGAAAAUGGUUGAUGAUGUGAAAGCCAUGGCCACCGACCCAUCUGAGCAACAAGUGCUUCUGACCCAGAUGGUUUUGAAGGACUUGAUGAUGAAUAGGAACAAACCAGAAGCAGCAUUCCCACUUGGUUUUCCCAAAAAGAAGAGAUCUGGAUCUAGAGGGAUGCAAAAGCAGAAUCAGAAUCAGAAGCAGAGGAUCAUCAUCAAAUUCAAACGCUGCGUCUCUGCCACUACAGAAACAGGAUUUGAAAUUGAAAUUGAAAUUGAAGAGCAAGAAGAGGUGCUACUCUGAAAUCGAACAAGCAGGCGAUGAAGGUUUCGAAGACAUAAACUCGAAAAGGCUGAGAAAGGGAAAGAAUGAUAAGAGGGUGUUACCAAGUGUGCAAUCGAUCACUGAGUAUUUUCCAAAGGAAGAAUUGCAGGAUCGUAUUCGUGGAUCAGAUCACCCAAAGCCAAGAGCAAGAGCAAUAGCAAUAGCAGGGAAGAGGAAUGAGAUCAAGAUCAGUAUGACCAGCUUUGCUUUGUCCUUGUUAAUCUGCUUUCUGUGAGUGUUCUUUGAGUUUUUGAUUUACACUUGAAUCAACUUGUGUAGUCUUUGAUCAAUAUAUAUGUACAUAGUUAUCAAGUCUUAAAAUUUCUUGUUCAUUAACUCUCUACCCUACUCCAUUUUCUCAGUCUUGCAGUUUAUGUUCAACAGUAAUUCAAUGAACGACUUUCAUUUUUCCGAUCAUUCAGUAUGCUCUUUGAGUUUGGGGGAUGCAUCCAAUUUCUUCUUAUGUUUACCUGGUCAUGUUAACUGUAUAAAAGUUUGACAUUGGUUCCCUGGUGGUGAGUACUUAAAGAUCUACCAUAUGGCAGGAGAGCAAAAGGCCUAUAUAUAUACACACUUGGUCCCUUACCUUUUGGUUAUUGUUUUGGUUCUUGCUGCAGGUUUCUGAACUUAUGCUCGUGCUUUAGUGAGGCUUGGAUGAUCUGUUUGAAAAAGUGAAACUAUCCUCUUUGUAACUUUCAACUCGAGUAAUAUCUGAAUAAAGUACUUGUA